CCUACGGGCGGCAGCAGUGAGGAAUAUUGGUCAAUGGACGAGAGUCUGAACCAGCCAAGUAGCGUGAAGGAUGACUGCCCUAUGGGUUGUAAACUUCUUUUAUAUGGGAAUAAAAUGUUCCACGUGUGGGAUUUUGUAUGUACCAUAUGAAUAAGGAUCGGCUAACUCCGUGCCAGCAGCCGCGGUAAUACGGAGGAUCCGAGCGUUAUCCGGAUUUAUUGGGUUUAAAGGGAGCGUAGGUGGAUUGUUAAGUCAGUUGUGAAAGUUUGCGGCUCAACCGUAAAAUUGCAGUUGAAACUGGCAGUCUUGAGUACGGUAGAGGUGGGCGGAAUUCGUGGUGUAGCGGUGAAAUGCUUAGAGAUCACGAAGAACUCCGAAUGCGAAGGCAGUUCACUGGACUGCAACUGACACUGAGGCUCGAAAGUGUGGGUAUCAAACAGGAUUAGAUACCCUGGUAGUC
This 460-nucleotide ribosomal RNA is filed under the name uncultured bacterium. RNAcentral's name for it is "partial 16S ribosomal RNA". It matches the Rfam family "Bacterial small subunit ribosomal RNA", at positions 338 to 795 of the family's 1533-position model. The record is from RNAcentral.